AUGAACGCUAGCGGCAGGCUUAACACAUGCAAGUCGAGGGGCAUCGAGAGAGUAGCAAUACUUUGUCGGCGACCGGCGGACGGGUGCGUAACGCGUAUGCAACCUACCUUAGUACAGGGGGAUAACCUUUCGAAAGGGAGACUAAUACCGCAUAACAUUACUUUGAGGCAUCUUGAGGUAAUUAAAUCUUCGGAGGUAUAAGAUGGGCAUGCGUAGCAUUAGCUAGAUGGUGCGGUAACGGCGUACCAUGGCGACGAUGCUUAGGGGUUCUGAGAGGAAGGUCCCCCACACUGGUACUGAGAUACGGACCAGACUCCUACGGGAGGCAGCAGUGAGGAAUAUUGGUCAAUGGUCGGAAGACUGAACCAGCCAUGCCGCGUGCAGGAAGAAUGUCUUAUGGAUUGUAAACUGCUUUUGUAUGGGAAUAAUAAUAGCUUUGCGAAGUUAGAUGCAUGUACCAUACGAAUAAGGAUCGGCUAACUCCGUG
RNAcentral lists this ribosomal RNA (487 nucleotides) under uncultured bacterium. RNAcentral's name for it is "bacterial SSU rRNA". It matches the Rfam family "Bacterial small subunit ribosomal RNA", at positions 29 to 507 of the family's 1533-position model. The record is from RNAcentral.